RNAcentral lists this signal recognition particle RNA (146 nucleotides) under Thermoanaerobacterales bacterium. Its description in RNAcentral is "partial signal recognition particle sRNA large type". It matches the Rfam family "Bacterial large signal recognition particle RNA", at positions 117 to 256 of the family's 256-position model. Rfam says of the family: The signal recognition particle (SRP) is a universally conserved ribonucleoprotein involved in the co-translational targeting of proteins to membranes. Archaeal SRP consists of a 7S RNA and homologues of the eukaryotic SRP19 and SRP54 proteins. Lineage: Bacteria; Bacillati; Bacillota; Clostridia; Thermoanaerobacterales. The record is from RNAcentral.
GGUCCUGCGCAAUGAAAACUUUCGAACCCCGUCAGGUCCGGGAGGAAGCAGCGGUAAGGAAGCCCUUUCAUGUGCCGCGGGGGAGCCUGGUCGGAGCUAACUAUCACUGUAACGCUCGGAGGGAUAGAUCGACGGAGGGUGCACGG